GAUAACUCGAGAGCUAUCGAGGCAGAAUCGUAGUCUGCAAGAUAGUAGAUCUCAGAGUUCGUAGACUGCCAGGAGAGACGAGGAAGGAUCGUAGUGUGUCGAGUAGCACUUCCUCGGAGCCGUAGUCUAUUGAGGAAGUCAUGUUCAGAAUCAUAGAGACAGCCUACCUACGAGCCAACCGAGCACCUGCUGAAGCCAAGUCAAGAAUCUUAGACUACACUCAGAGUCGUAGAGUCUACUGAUCAUAUCAGAGGUAGAGAUCGUAGUUGAGCAAGAUUAGAUGAAGACAACAAGCACAACGACAGAAAUUGUAGAGUGACAAGAUCUUAU
RNAcentral lists this long non-coding RNA (330 nucleotides) under Panax ginseng (ginseng). RNAcentral describes it as "long non-coding RNA (PGIN_LNC015005)". The record is from RNAcentral. Lineage: Eukaryota; Viridiplantae; Streptophyta; Magnoliopsida; Apiales; Araliaceae.